Molecule: ribosomal RNA, 2111 nt
Filed under: Salmonella enterica
Lineage: Bacteria; Pseudomonadati; Pseudomonadota; Gammaproteobacteria; Enterobacterales; Enterobacteriaceae
Also listed under: 1 other name
Description: partial 23S ribosomal RNA
Rfam family: Bacterial large subunit ribosomal RNA
Source: RNAcentral
AGACCCGAAACCCGGUGAUCUAGCCAUGGGCAGGUUGAAGGUUGGGUAACACUAACUGGAGGACCGAACCGACUAAUGUUGAAAAAUUAGCGGAUGACCUGUGGCUGGGGGUGAAAGGCCAAUCAAACCGGGAGAUAGCUGGUUCUCCCCGAAAGCUAUUUAGGUAGCGCCUCGUGAAUUCAUCUCCGGGGGUAGAGCACUGUUUCGGCUAGGGGGCCAUCCCGGCUUACCAACCCGAUGCAAACUGCGAAUACCGGAGAAUGUUAUCACGGGAGACACACGGCGGGUGCUAACGUCCGUCGUGAAGAGGGAAACAACCCAGACCGCCAGCUAAGGUCCCAAAGUCAUGGUUAAGUGGGAAACGAUGUGGGAAGGCCCAGACAGCCAGGAUGUUGGCUUAGAAGCAGCCAUCAUUUAAAGAAAGCGUAAUAGCUCACUGGUCGAGUCGGCCUGCGCGGAAGAUGUAACGGGGCUAAACCAUGCACCGAAGCUGCGGCAGCGACGCUUAUGCGUUGUUGGGUAGGGGAGCGUUCUGUAAGCCUGCGAAGGUGGCCUGUGAGGGUUGCUGGAGGUAUCAGAAGUGCGAAUGCUGACAUAAGUAACGAUAAAGCGGGUGAAAAGCCCGCUCGCCGGAAGACCAAGGGUUCCUGUCCAACGUUAAUCGGGGCAGGGUGAGUCGACCCCUAAGGCGAGGCCGAAAGGCGUAGUCGAUGGGAAACGGGUUAAUAUUCCCGUACUUGGUGUUACUGCGAAGGGGGGACGGAGAAGGCUAUGUUGGCCGGGCGACGGUUGUCCCGGUUUAAGCGUGUAGGUGUGUGUUCCAGGUAAAUCCGGUUCACUUUAACACUGAGGCGUGACGACGAGGCACUACGGUGCUGAAGCAACAAAUGCCCUGCUUCCAGGAAAAGCCUCUAAGCAUCAGGUAACAUCAAAUCGUACCCCAAACCGACACAGGUGGUCAGGUAGAGAAUACCAAGGCGCUUGAGAGAACUCGGGUGAAGGAACUAGGCAAAAUGGUGCCGUAACUUCGGGAGAAGGCACGCUGACACGUAGGUGAAGUGAUUUACUCACGGAGCUGAAGUCAGUCGAAGAUACCAGCUGGCUGCAACUGUUUAUUAAAAACACAGCACUGUGCAAACACGAAAGUGGACGUAUACGGUGUGACGCCUGCCCGGUGCCGGAAGGUUAAUUGAUGGGGUCAGCGCAAGCGAAGCUCCUGAUCGAAGCCCCGGUAAACGGCGGCCGUAACUAUAACGGUCCUAAGGUAGCGAAAUUCCUUGUCGGGUAAGUUCCGACCUGCACGAAUGGCGUAAUGAUGGCCAGGCUGUCUCCACCCGAGACUCAGUGAAAUUGAACUCGCUGUGAAGAUGCAGUGUACCCGCGGCAAGACGGAAAGACCCCGUGAACCUUUACUAUAGCUUGACACUGAACAUUGAGCCUUGAUGUGUAGGAUAGGUGGGAGGCUUUGAAGCGUGGACGCCAGUCUGCGUGGAGCCGACCUUGAAAUACCACCCUUUAAUGUUUGAUGUUCUAACGUGGACCCGUGAUCCGGGUUGCGGACAGUGUCUGGUGGGUAGUUUGACUGGGGCGGUCUCCUCCUAAAGAGUAACGGAGGAGCACGAAGGUUGGCUAAUCCUGGUCGGACAUCAGGAGGUUAGUGCAAUGGCAUAAGCCAGCUUGACUGCGAGCGUGACGGCGCGAGCAGGUGCGAAAGCAGGUCAUAGUGAUCCGGUGGUUCUGAAUGGAAGGGCCAUCGCUCAACGGAUAAAAGGUACUCCGGGGAUAACAGGCUGAUACCGCCCAAGAGUUCAUAUCGACGGCGGUGUUUGGCACCUCGAUGUCGGCUCAUCACAUCCUGGGGCUGAAGUAGGUCCCAAGGGUAUGGCUGUUCGCCAUUUAAAGUGGUACGCGAGCUGGGUUUAGAACGUCGUGAGACAGUUCGGUCCCUAUCUGCCGUGGGCGCUGGAGAACUGAGGGGGGCUGCUCCUAGUACGAGAGGACCGGAGUGGACGCAUCACUGGUGUUCGGGUUGUCAUGCCAAUGGCACUGCCCGGUAGCUAAAUGCGGAAGAGAUAAGUGCUGAAAGCAUCUAAGCACGAAACUUGCCCCGA